This 72-nucleotide transfer RNA is filed under the name Treponema phagedenis. It matches the Rfam family "tRNA". From Rfam's summary of the family: Transfer RNA (tRNA) molecules are approximately 80 nucleotides in length. Their secondary structure includes four short double-helical elements and three loops (D, anti-codon, and T loops). Further hydrogen bonds mediate the characteristic L-shaped molecular structure. tRNAs have two regions of fundamental functional importance: the anti-codon, which is responsible for specific mRNA codon recognition, and the 3' end, to which the tRNAs corresponding amino acid is attached (by aminoacyl-tRNA synthetases). tRNAs cope with the degeneracy of the genetic code in two manners: having more than one tRNA (with a specific anti-codon) for a particular amino acid; and 'wobble' base-pairing, i.e. permitting non-standard base-pairing at the 3rd anti-codon position. The record is from Rfam by way of RNAcentral. Lineage: Bacteria; Pseudomonadati; Spirochaetota; Spirochaetia; Treponematales; Treponemataceae. RNAcentral also lists the same sequence under 1 other name.
GGACGAUUAACUCAGUGGUAGAGUGCUACCUUCACACGGUAGAAGUCAUCGGUUCAAACCCGGUAUCGUCCA